AUGUGCUGUCAUACCACCGUGAGCACGCCAGUCUCUUCUGAUUUCAGAGCUAAGCAUGAGCAGGUCUGGUUAGUCCUUGGAUGGGAGACCACCAAAGAAUAACAGCAAGAACUGGGAAAG
RNAcentral lists this ribosomal RNA (120 nucleotides) under Pogona vitticeps (central bearded dragon). Lineage: Eukaryota; Metazoa; Chordata; Lepidosauria; Squamata; Agamidae. The record is from RNAcentral.